RNAcentral lists this non-coding RNA (23 nucleotides) under Arabidopsis thaliana (thale cress). The record is from RNAcentral. Lineage: Eukaryota; Viridiplantae; Streptophyta; Magnoliopsida; Brassicales; Brassicaceae.
GGGACAAUAAGUUGGUGGAACAC